This 430-nucleotide ribosomal RNA is filed under the name uncultured bacterium. Its description in RNAcentral is "bacterial SSU rRNA". It matches the Rfam family "Bacterial small subunit ribosomal RNA", at positions 32 to 489 of the family's 1533-position model. The record is from RNAcentral.
AAUCAACGCUGGCGGCGUGCCUAACACAUGCAAGUCGCACGAGAAAGGGACUUCGGUCCUGAGUAAAGUGGCGCACGGGUGAGUAACACGUGAAUCAUCUACCUUCGAGUGGGGAAUAACUGAGAGAAAUCUUAGCUAAUACCGCAUAAUACCUACGGGUCAAAGCAGCAAUGCGCUUGAAGAGGAGUUCGCGGCAGAUUAGUUAGUUGGCGGGGUAAUGGCCCACCAAGACGAUGAUCUGUAUCCGGCCUGAGAGGGCGCACGGACACACUGGAACUGAAACACGGUCCAGACUCCUACGGGAGGCAGCAGUGGGGAAUUUUGCGCAAUGGGGGGAAACCCUGACGCAGCAACGCCGCGUGGAGGAUGAAAUCCCUUGGGAUGUAAACUCCUUUCGAUCGGGAAGAUAAUGACGGUACCGAGAGAAGAA